ACCAAAUAAACUAAGAUGAAAAUACCAAACUAACCACCGAAUUUCAGAUUAAAUACCAUGCAACCAAGACCCAAUCAUUAGAAAUUUAACAAACAAACUGGGUGCUUGGGGAAUUAAAACCAAUUGGAGGUCAACUAACUAGCUAUUAGACCAAACGGUAGAGAGGAAAUAAGUGGAAUUUGGCUGCUGACAUGGGACGGUGGGUAGCUCUCGUCUGGACAGCUGCCCUGAAGGAAUCUGCUGAGUAUGCAGUGACCGAAUGAGGUGAACAUUGGAUUGAUCAGCACCGAAUGAAGAAGCUUGAGUGGUCGGUGGAGUGAAGGAAAUAUGUUCAAAUGCUCUUCUUACCAACCAAGCAUUGGAAACCAAAUCGAGAGUGAGAGUUUCGGUCAUAACCAUUCAUGCCAAAACACCACCGAGUGAGAAAUAUUUCUAGUUCCUCUUGUCCAGCUUGCAACCGAGAGAGAGUGUGUGUGUGAGGGAGAGAGUGCUAGCUUUAUCUCUCCAGCUCGCAACCUCAUAACCGUGAGUCAAAGUGAAUGAGAGGGAGAGAAAUCUUGUUAGCUGCAUCAUCCACCAGUUUUAACCGAGAGUGAAAGUGACGUAAGGAAGGAGAAGGAGAGAGUUGGAACGGAAACUUUGAGGAGCCGCAACAGAAAGCUAAGAGUAACCUGCAAUUACCGAAUUCUAAAGGAAAGAGGAACUCAUUUUUGGCCUCUUUCAACUGUGAGAACCAGCCACAAAGAAAGAAGGAAUGCAGUCUAUCGAGUCUAGGAUGGGAGAGUGGAACCAGAAUUUUAUUUUCUUAACUUAGGCCAUAAGAACCAGAGGUAAACUACUGUCCUCCUCUUCCAGUUCUUCCACGUUUAGUUAGUAGUCUUUUAGACUGAGUUGGAACCAAGUAAAAGAAAACUUUCUGGAAAACAAAGGUUAUCAAAGCUGGAAAUGUUAGUUUGAAGCUGCUGUGUGAUACUUGAUGAGCUAAUCUGCAAUUUUCCAGUUGUAUCUUCUGUUGCAUGUCUCACAUACAUUUUCUGGUCACAUAUCUUAACAUGGAUAUCACCUUUGAGAGGUUAAAAGCAAGGAAAAGAUGAAUUAAAAGCAGGAACAUUGUUGGAAAUUUUAUUGAGGACCGUAGGAAGAAAACUUGCUGGAAUUUUCCAGCUCUAUCCGAGAGAAGGAAAUGAAGAGGUUUCUAACUGUCCUCAUGAAUUAUGGCCUUGAAUCUCUAUGUUAAACUGUAGUAUAUGAUGUAUAAUAGCUGGUCUGAACAUGCAUGGAAGAUUUGAGCAAGAACUGAAGUGAUUAUUGGAGAGAAAAUAGUGUUGAGUGAUUGCUGCAACAAUUCUGGAAAAAAAUGCAGAAGGAAGAAGAUCGUGAGCUGAACCAGUAUUGUUCUGAUUUCCCUUGGCUAUAAACUUGUAUUCAUGCUGAUGGUACUCUGUAGUUUGAUAACCAACCUUUGCAUGUGGAAUUUAAUGAACAAAACUGAAAGAAAUUAGGGAGGAAAAACUAUGAACUGCGUUGUUAAUUGCUUCACAACUGAGUGAGUGAAGCAGGAUGGGCUUCCGUCCGGCCAUUUUUGACUAUGACAAUGUGAAAACUGGAUGUUGGUGUCUUCACAAGAAAUGUAGGUCUAUAUUUUAGCUUCGAAACGCUAUAAAGUUUGCCUCAAUCCGAUAAGCAUAGCUCUAGUUAUGAUUGAAAUACCAGAGGAUGGCAAAGCUGCCUUCCUCGUUGCCUUUCCUUUUGUUUCGCAUGCAUACAGCUUUGAUAAUGGCCGUGAGGAAACCAACUUUUAACUAACGUUUCUUCUAAUUUCCAAUCUUGUAAGCUUUCAUAAAUGAUAGCUAUGAUUGUGCUGAGAUUUAAUCGCUAUACCUAGUUCCACGAGUAGAGUUAGACUAAGGCAAUUGAGUGAAAAGUCACGAUAGUUAUAUACGUAAAGUGGCUUCUAAUUAUUUAAUAUUAUUUUCACGAAUAUUUUUAAAGGCUAUUAAAUUUUGGGACUGGUAUAGUGAAAAAAAACUUAAUUUCCAAAUAACUUAGAGUCUAAUUAAUAAAAGGGAACCAAGGGAAUACUUCUAAACCUUAAUUUUGGAAUCUUGAGUGGAAAAUGAUUUAAAUCCUAAAAUAAAUAUCUUAUGAAUUAUUAACUUGUCCAGGAUGUAGCUGUGAGCCAAGAAACAAACCCGAGGCUCAAGAGUAAUUUACUUGGAUAAUUGGUGAGUGUUUUCCGAAUUUAUGUAUUAAACUGCUUAUGUGUACCUAAAUGCAAUUAUAUGGCAAAUGUGUUUAUUAUGAAAUAUUGCUAAGUGAUUCAUUGUGAAGUGUUUUCAAUUGUCCCUCGCCUUUUAAGUCCAGAGUGUACUUUAUCGCACUCGUCUUAGUUGAGCUUGAAGGUCGAUAAUUGAUCGAGUGAUAUUAUAAGUGUGCAUGACUGUAAGCCGUGUGUGUACUUUAUCACACCGGCUGAACUGGGCCCCAAAACCCUCUGUUCAACGUACUAUUCGAGCCAGCAAAGGGUUUGGUCGGGUAGGACGGUAGUUUUGAGUAAGUGUUUCGGUAUGCUCGAGUAUUACCACGGAGUAGCAGAUUAUUGAUAUUGAUAUGGCCAUCCAAGUGAGGGAAAUGUUUAUUGUUUUGGAGGUUAUAAGGAAGAGUUCGGCGGAGUGUGUAGUGCAUUGAAGUGGCUCUAAUGCGAGCACCGUAUCCUUUUAAAAGUGAUUGUUCAGUGAAGCGUUUCCUCAAUUGCUAAUGAAAGUGAUUGUACAGUGAAAUGUGCACUACUUGUUUAUUUGUAUUGAUUCAUGUGAUUAUUAAAUGUUACUUGCAUGGAAACCUCACGGGCGUAAGCUCACCUUUUUAGCUUUGUUUUCCUUACAGGAGUUGGAGAUUGAAAAGUGAUUGGAUGGAAUUGGAAAGUUAUUUUUGGAAAUCCCAUCACUAUGUGUGUAUAUUGGAGUCACGUUUUCUUUCGUAUUUUAAGAUGGUUGAAUCUUUUGUUUUGAGUUGAUGUAAUAUUAAGAAUGGAUGUUUAGAACGUGUAUUUUUUUUCCUUUUAGUGGACAAAUCUAUGUUUCAAGCUGAUUGGAGUGGUACUUAAGAGUGAAUGUUCAGUUGUCCAAUGGUAAUGUUAUCUCUGAAGUUAAUGGGAGUGAGUGAGUCCUGGCGAGAGCCAGGCAGGCGAUCCGCUAACUUCUAGGGUAUGCCCUAGGAGAAGGUGGGGUCGUCAC
RNAcentral lists this long non-coding RNA (3236 nucleotides) under Coffea arabica (coffee). RNAcentral's name for it is "long non-coding RNA (CARA_LNC004274)". The record is from RNAcentral. Lineage: Eukaryota; Viridiplantae; Streptophyta; Magnoliopsida; Gentianales; Rubiaceae.